GGGCAAAGACCGUGGUCAAUUGAUUAGAUUGCAACAAAUAAUGGCGGUGGCGGUGGCGAGUGCGUCCAUUGAAUGUUAAAAAAGUUACGCACCUAUUCAAAUAGUAUAUAAUAUUCAAUUGAUAAUCCUUUCGCAAGAUACUUGAGGUAUUGGCAUACCUCCUCACCAUAUGGACACACUUUGACCCGCACCCUGAAUACCCUUACCAUUGCGCAGGGCCACCACGCAGUCUUCGAAGGGCAUGUUGCUUAGCCGGAA
Long non-coding RNA from Drosophila yakuba, 258 nucleotides. RefSeq lists it as uncharacterized. The record is from RefSeq and is a predicted model, not a curated record. The transcript has 2 exons. NCBI's taxonomy places the organism in Eukaryota, Metazoa, Arthropoda, Insecta, Diptera, Drosophilidae.